UUGUCUCAAAGAUUAAGCCAUGCAUGUCUAAGUAUAAGCAACUUGUACUGUGAAACUGCGAAUGGCUCAUUAAAUCAGUUAUCGUUUAUUUGAUAGUACCUUACUACAUGGAUACCUGUGGUAAUUCUAGAGCUAAUACAUGCUAAAAACCCCGACUUCAGGAAGGGGUGUAUUUAUUAGAUAAAAAACCAACGCCCUUCGGGGCUCCUUGGUGAAUCAUAAUAACUUAACGAAUCGCAUGGCCUUGCGCCGGCGAUGGUUCAUUCAAAUUUCUGCCCUAUCAACUUUCGAUGGUAGGAUAGUGGCCUACCAUGGUGGCAACGGGUAACGGGGAAUUAGGGUUCGAUUCCGGAGAGGGAGCCUGAGAAACGGCUACCACAUCCAAGGAAGGCAGCAGGCGCGCAAAUUACCCAAUCCCGAUACGGGGAGGUAGUGACAAUAAAUACUGAUACGGGGCUCUUUUGGGUCUCGUAAUUGGAAUGAGAACAAUUUAAAUCCCUUAACGAGGAACAAUUGGAGG
RNAcentral lists this ribosomal RNA (520 nucleotides) under uncultured fungus. RNAcentral's name for it is "SSU rRNA". It matches the Rfam family "Eukaryotic small subunit ribosomal RNA", at positions 32 to 554 of the family's 1831-position model. Lineage: Eukaryota; Fungi. The record is from RNAcentral. RNAcentral also lists the same sequence under 1 other name.